RNAcentral lists this ribosomal RNA (497 nucleotides) under uncultured bacterium. RNAcentral describes it as "partial 16S ribosomal RNA". It matches the Rfam family "Bacterial small subunit ribosomal RNA", at positions 28 to 507 of the family's 1533-position model. The record is from RNAcentral.
GAUGAACGCUGGCGGCGUGCCUAAUACAUGCAAGUCGAGCGAACAGACGAGGAGCUUGCUCCUCUGACGUUAGCGGCGGACGGGUGAGUAACACGUGGAUAACCUACCUAUAAGACUGGGAUAACUUCGGGACACCGGAGCUAAUACCGGAUAAUAUAUUGAACCGCAUGGUUCAAUAGUGAAAGACGGUUUUGCUGUCACUUAUAGAUGGAUCCGCGCCGCAUUAGCUAGUUGGUAAGGUAACGGCUUACCAAGGCGACGAUGCGUAGCCGACCUGAGAGGGUGAUCGGCCACACUGGAACUGAGACACGGUCCAGACGCCUACGGGAGGCAGCAGUAGGGAAUCUUCCGCAAUGGGCGAAAGCUUGACGGAGCAACGCCGCGUGAGUGAUGAAGGUCUUCGGAUCGUAAAACUCUGUUAUUAGGGAAGAACAAAUGUGUAAGUAACUAUGCACGUCUUGACGGUACCUAAUCAGAAAGCCACGGCUAACUACGUG